This 64-nucleotide transfer RNA is filed under the name Argulus americanus. RNAcentral's name for it is "tRNA-Met". Lineage: Eukaryota; Metazoa; Arthropoda; Ichthyostraca; Arguloida; Argulidae. The record is from RNAcentral.
UUAAAAGUAAGCUAAAGUAAGCUAAUGGGUUCAUACCCCAUGCAUGGAAAUAUUCCCUUUUAAU